GAGGAAGGUGAGGACGACGUCAAAUCAUCAUGCCCCUUAUGUCUUGGGCUUCACGCAUGCUACAAUGGCCGGUACAAUGGGUUGCGAUACUGCGAGCCGGAGCGGACCCCACAAACCAUCCCCAGUUCGGAUUGCAGGCUGCAACCCGCCUGCAUGAAGUCGGAAUCGCUAGUAAUCGCAGGUCAGCAUACUGCGGUGAAUACGUUCCCGGGCCUUGUACACGUCGACGCGGCCG
Molecule: ribosomal RNA, 235 nt
Filed under: uncultured bacterium
Lineage: Bacteria
Description: partial 16S ribosomal RNA
Rfam family: Bacterial small subunit ribosomal RNA
Source: RNAcentral